UGCCAGCAGCCGCGGUAACACGGGGGGCGCAAGCGUUAUUCGGAAUUAUUGGGCGUAAAGGGUGCGCAGGCGGAACUUUAAGUCAGAGGUGAAAUCCCAGGGCUCAACCCUGGAACUGCCUUUGAUACUGCUAGUCUUGAGUUCGAGAGAGGUAAGUGGAAUUCCGAGUGUAGAGGUGAAAUUCGUAGAUAUUCGGAGGAACACCAGUGGCGAAGGCGGCUUACUGGCUCGAUACUGACGCUGAGGUGCGAAAGUGUGGGGAGCGAACAGGAUUAGAUA
This 279-nucleotide ribosomal RNA is filed under the name uncultured bacterium. Its description in RNAcentral is "partial 16S ribosomal RNA". It matches the Rfam family "Bacterial small subunit ribosomal RNA", at positions 506 to 784 of the family's 1533-position model. The record is from RNAcentral.